This 76-nucleotide transfer RNA is filed under the name Thomasclavelia ramosa. Its description in RNAcentral is "Erysipelatoclostridium ramosum tRNA-Thr". It matches the Rfam family "tRNA". Rfam says of the family: Transfer RNA (tRNA) molecules are approximately 80 nucleotides in length. Lineage: Bacteria; Bacillati; Bacillota; Erysipelotrichia; Erysipelotrichales; Coprobacillaceae. RNAcentral also lists the same sequence under 5 other names. The record is from RNAcentral.
GCCUUCCUAGCACAAAUGGUAGUGCAGCUGACUUGUAAUCAGUAUGUUGGGGGUUCGAGUCCCUCGGUUGGCACCA